GACGAACGCUGGCGGCGUGCUUAACACAUGCCAGUCGAACGGAAAGGCCCUGCUUUUGUGGGGUGCUCGAGUGGCGAACGGGUGAGUAACACGUGAGUAACCUGCCCUUGACUUUGGGAUAACUUCAGGAAACUGGGGCUAAUACCGGAUAGGAGCUCCUGCUGCAUGGUGGGGGUUGGAAAGUUUCGGCGGUUGGGGAUGGACUCGCGGCUUAUCAGCUUGUUGGUGGGGUAGUGGCUUACCAAGGCUUUGACGGGUAGCCGGCCUGGGAGGGUGAACGGCCACAUGGGGACUGAGAUACGGCCCAGACUCCUACGGGAGGCAGCAGUGGGGAAUAUUGCACAAUGGGCGGAAGCCUGAUGCAGCAACGCCGCGUGCGGGAUGACGGCCUUCGGGGUGUAAACCGCUUUCGCCUGUGACGAAGCGUGAGUGACGGUAAUGGGUAAAGAAGCACCGGCUAACUACGUG
This 468-nucleotide ribosomal RNA is filed under the name uncultured bacterium. RNAcentral describes it as "partial 16S ribosomal RNA". It matches the Rfam family "Bacterial small subunit ribosomal RNA", at positions 28 to 507 of the family's 1533-position model. The record is from RNAcentral.